ACGGAGGAUGCAAGCGUUAUCCGGAAUGAUUGGGCGUAAAGCGUCCGCAGGUGGCGAUGUAAGUCUGCUGUUAAAGAGUGAGGCUCAACCUCAUAAGAGCAGUGGAAACUACAUAGCUAGAGUGCGGUAGGGGCAGAGGGAAUUCCUGGUGUAGCGGUGAAAUGCGUAGAUAUCGGGAGGAACACCUGAGGCGAAGGCGGGCUACUGGGCCGAUACUGACGCUGAUGUGCGAAAGCCAGGGGAGCGAACGGGA
RNAcentral lists this ribosomal RNA (253 nucleotides) under uncultured prokaryote. RNAcentral describes it as "partial 16S ribosomal RNA". It matches the Rfam family "Bacterial small subunit ribosomal RNA", at positions 525 to 777 of the family's 1533-position model. The record is from RNAcentral.